This 1204-nucleotide long non-coding RNA is filed under the name Fragaria vesca (wild strawberry). RNAcentral's name for it is "long non-coding RNA (FVES_LNC002373)". The record is from RNAcentral. Lineage: Eukaryota; Viridiplantae; Streptophyta; Magnoliopsida; Rosales; Rosaceae.
AAAAAGCUGGAACAAUAGCCGACGAACUAUUUUUCGUCGGCUAAAGUCUGGACAAUAGCCGACGAUGGUCUUUAGAUUCGUCGGCUAAAGCCAUCACCGACUACCCUUUCCCGACGACACUAUAGCCGACGAGCCUUCGUCGGCUAAGGUCUUAGCCGACGAGCCUUCGUCGGCUAAGGUCUUAGCCGACGAAUUAGGAUAACAGGCCGACGAAAAUAUUUCGUCGGCUAAAGUACUUGUCCUGGUAGUGUUUGUACAUUGAUUCCAUUGGCAGUUGCAGUUUCAAGUCGAGACCACCACUCGUCAUUGGGAUACACCUCGAGAGAAUUAGUUACUUCUCUUCCGGAUAACAUUUCAAUUUUUUACAGAUAUUUUUUUAAUAUGUCAGUGAUAUAUCGAAAAUAUCAUAAAUGUCGGAGAUAUUUCCUAAAUAUCGGUGAUAUUUGAGGAUAUUUCCUAAAUAUCGGGGAAAUAUCAUAGAUACGGUGGAAGAUACGAUAUUGACCCCUAAAGAUAUAUCGGUCCUUCGAAAAGGGAGAUAUCGGAGGAUAUAUUAGAUAUAUCGCAGAGAUUUUAAUCCUUGCUUCUGUGUUUGUUUUCUUUGCUUUGUUAGUUUUGCUUUCAACUGUGGCACCAGUAGAAAACAGUGCAGUUAAUCAUAUUACUUCUGAAUUAAUGGAACCAGUCCGAGAAGAUGCGUACGGCUAAAGGUUGAAUCAUGUUGCGCGCUAAACGUACAUAUAGGUAACAGAGCUUCAUGGAAGGCUUUGUCAACAUCCACAACUAGCUACAUGGGGAUUUCUAUGAUAACUCAUAUAAUGCAAGUUAUGCAGAUGGUGACUGUUUCUGCUUAGUGCGAUGAUGGUGGUGUCUCCUCCACUCUAAGUAUGUAAUUAAACACCAGCUGAUCGCAGAGAUAUUGCUAUUGUCAAUUCCAAAUUACUAAUUCCUACACCAGAUUUCCUAAGUUGGGAAUUUCGUUUGGUCAGUGACUCAGUGCUCACCUGAAUAGAGAAGUAGUUCAUAUCUAAUGGAUCCGCAUUCUGCAUUCAGUUGUAGUAGAUGAACAAAUGAUCACUCUAAACCCUAAGUUAAGGUCUCUACUCUCUAGGGCUUAUAAUAUAUGCUGCAUUUUUUUUUUUUGCAUGUGUCUACUAUAUUGAUUAUAUAUAUUAAGGAAUUAUCUUUACUCUUGUGCCUUUUU